RNAcentral lists this ribosomal RNA (1371 nucleotides) under uncultured bacterium. RNAcentral describes it as "bacterial SSU rRNA". It matches the Rfam family "Bacterial small subunit ribosomal RNA", at positions 28 to 1381 of the family's 1533-position model. The record is from RNAcentral.
GAUGAACGCUGGCGGCGUGCCUAAUACAUGCAAGUCGAGCGAACGGACGAGAAGCUUGCUUCUCUGAUGUUAGCGGCGGACGGGUGAGUAACACGUGGAUAACCUACCUAUAAGACUGGGAUAACUUCGGGAAACCGGAGCUAAUACCGGAUAAUAUUUUGAACCGCAUGGUUCAAAAGUGAAAGACGGUCUUGCUGUCACUUAUAGAUGGAUCCGCGCUGCAUUAGCUAGUUGGUAAGGUAACGGCUUACCAAGGCAACGAUGCAUAGCCGACCUGAGAGGGUGAUCGGCCACACUGGAACUGAGACACGGUCCAGACUCCUACGGGAGGCAGCAGUAGGGAAUCUUCCGCAAUGGGCGAAAGCCUGACGGAGCAACGCCGCGUGAGUGAUGAAGGUCUUCGGAUCGUANAACUCUGUUAUUAGGGAAGAACAUAUGUGUAAGUAACUGUGCACAUCUUGACGGUACCUAAUCAGAAAGCCACGGCUAACUACGUGCCAGCAGCCGCGGUAAUACGUAGGUGGCAAGCGUUAUCCGGAANUUAUGGGCGUAAGCGCGCGUAGGCGGUUUUUUAAGUCUGAUGUGAAAGCCCACGGCUCAACCGUGGAGGGUCAUUGGAAACUGGAAAACUUGAGUGCAGAAGAGGAAAGUGGAAUUCCAUGUGUAGCGGUGAAAUGCGCAGAGAUAUGGAGGAACACCAGUGGCGAAGGCGACUUUCUGGUCUGUAACUGACGCUGAUGUGCGAAAGCGUGGGGAUCAAACAGGAUUAGAUACCCUGGUAGUCCACGCCGUAAACGAUGAGUGCUAAGUGUUAGGGGGUUUCCGCCCCUUAGUGCUGCAGCUAACGCAUUAAGCACUCCGCCUGGGGAGUACGACCGCAAGGUUGAAACUCAAAGGAAUUGACGGGGACCCGCACAAGCGGUGGAGCAUGUGGUUUAAUUCGAAGCAACGCGAAGAACCUUACCAAAUCUUGACAUCCUUUGACAACUCUAGAGAUAGAGCCUUCCCCUUCGGGGGACAAAGUGACAGGUGGUGCAUGGUUGUCGUCAGCUCGUGUCGUGAGAUGUUGGGUUAAGUCCCGCAACGAGCGCAACCCUUAAGCUUAGUUGCCAUCAUUAAGUUGGGCACUCUAAGUUGACUGCCGGUGACAAACCGGAGGAAGGUGGGGAUGACGUCAAAUCAUCAUGCCCCUUAUGAUUUGGGCUACACACGUGCUACAAUGGACAAUACAAAGGGCAGCGAAACCGCGAGGUCAAGCAAAUCCCAUAAAGUUGUUCUCAGUUCGGAUUGUAGUCUGCAACUCGACUACAUGAAGCUGGAAUCGCUAGUAAUCGUAGAUCAGCAUGCUACGGUGAAUACGUUCCCGGGUCU